Molecule: long non-coding RNA, 6246 nt
Organism: Gavialis gangeticus (Gharial)
Lineage: Eukaryota; Metazoa; Chordata; Crocodylia; Gavialidae
Exons: 3
Source: RefSeq, a predicted model, not a curated record
UGUGUAUUUUCACAGCAGCACUCCCUAGCAUGGUGAGAGGCAGUCUAAAUGUGACCACAGAAGCAGGUUUACAAGGUGAGAGGACCUGUUUAGCCUCCUGCUCUCGUUUACUUACCUGGAAGGUCUCUUCCUCCACCUUGCUCUAAGCCUUGUGUCAUGCUUACAAACUCUGUUUUUCCCAGAGGGAGUAGAAGUAAGUGACAGGACUGGUACUCCUAGCACUUCAGCUGUCCUAGAACACAGCUCAGAGUCGGCUGACCCCUUCAGUGUAGAAGUACCCCUACCAAACACUGACCAGCAGUGUCUCUACCUCUGAGCAAAACGGUUUUUUAUGUAAAACUUUCUGAAGUACAGAGCAAAAUCUUUCUGGCUGUGAGAAGCGUAGUGAAAGCAGUCAAGUGAUUACUGCCCAGAAAUAGACACUGGAAGAUUGAGGUGAUAUUUCUAGGUCUGUCAUAGUCUAGCUUUAUAAUUUGUCUCUCAAUUUCCUCCUCUGCAACAUGGUCACAUUUGCUUACUCCACAUUACUACUGAAACCUGUUUCACAUCUUGAAGUGCUUUGAGAUUCUCAGACAGAAGGAAAUAUUGCAGAAAAAAAUAUUUCCAUUAUGUCUUAGGGCUUGCAGACUGUUAUCACACAGACAGCUUCCUUGAGGUAGCUUUUCAAGGCCUGAAGUUACCCACACUUUCCUUUAUACUAAAAAAAUGGCCUACCACAGAGCUGUCCAACUGGCGGCCCAUGGGCUGUACGCAGCCUGCGACAGGUUAAUAUGUGGCCUGUUGGCUCCUACCUGAUGAUCACUCCUUCCAUUGUUCCUGCUGUUAUGUGCCAUGGAGGCCGGGGGUUCUAGGCUAACCCUCUCUCUUCUGGUUCCUCCUGCCUGCCAUGCUCCUGGGGGCAGGGUGGUGUAGGGGAGAGGUAGCCAGCAUUUGUGCUGCUUGUGAUCUUCACAUGGCUGGGGGGUGGGGAGCCAGGCUGCACAUGUGGCUGAGAUUGAACCUUAGAAUGCUUUUAUAAGGAUAGAGAUACACAUGGAAAAACACAAUAAUCCAACUAGUUAAAUUCCCAGAACCACUUAGUUUAGAUUUGUUUGCAGCAAGUCUAUGAAUCAUUUCAAACUGAACUAACAGUAGAUAAAAAUUAGCUGAACAGUUUAUCUAAUUAUCCCACUACUGUCUCAGAGAGCUGAUAGUUGUUUAAACUUUCCAAAAUGACCUGGGAGCCAGACCAGGAAUCAUAGGUUACAGUACUCGGGGGCAGACUUUAAUUGAACUGGAUUAUAUAAUGCAUACCAUAGCCUGUCUAGGACAGGGAGCCAGUAACUUUUGCCAUUGCACCUCAACACAGGAGCAGAAAGAGAGAAGACUGAAGAGUUGUAUAACAAAGGCCAACAGAUUUUUAGUAAGGGAGGGGCAAGAAAACAGCAAUUAAAUUUGGCCAAAUCAAGAAGGCUAGAAGGGAAAUUAACUGACUCUGAGUUGUUGGGUUGUGGGGAGGGGUUGCUUGCUCCCUAUGCCUUCCUGCAGGCAAUAUGUCAAAUCAGAACAAUUGUUUUCUCAUCAAACAUUUCCCUAUCAAAAGUUAGUUGCUGUCUCCUUCACAGGUUCCUGGGAAGAAAGGUAGAAAAUAGAAGAUCAACUAACCCACAGCCUCAGCUAGGUGUUCAUGAAUUCUUCUAGCAAUUAUUGGCUUCUCUUUCUACUCCAGUGCUGUCCAUCAGAAGGCCAAGGAACUAUUACAAACAUGAAAGCACAUAGCACUACUCUGAAGUAAGUAUUCAUUCCACAGAGAGGGAAAGCUCUGUUAUAGAGGCUGUGAGUUACCCAAGGUCAAUGAUUUGGACAAUGGGAGAGGUAGGAAUGGAAUGUGACUCCUAGUCUUGUGCUGUAACCACACUAAUGCAAUGCAUUCUGUUUUUAAUGUGGCAAUGACUUAUAUUGUUUAUUUCAGUGUAUAUUUCUCUAAUUAUUGUAGUUCCUGUAUUUUUAGAAUUUUCAGUAUAUGAAGUGCUCUCUCACAGUGGUAUGACUAUUUCUUACAAAUGAAGCAUUUGAGGAUUUUUUCUUUUUAAACCACAAUUAUCUGAACACGAUUAGACCAGAGUACUUAAUAAUCACAUAAAGAUCAAGAGCAACUAUGGUGAGAUUUUUAUCAUUCUGGACACUGAAAAAAAAUUUGAACAAAAAAACUCGUUGGAUUGGAGUUAAGAUUGAAAAUCCAUAUUAGUAAUUUAAGGUUAAAAGCCACCACAAGAAUGUUGCAAUUAUCGCCAAAUCAAGCAGUAUAAAAUCUGAAAAUGCAAUUUGAAGAUUCAAAAUAAGAGAGAUCAAAGCAUAUUCAUGUUCCUAUGAAAAUACACAACCAAGGCUCCCCAGUAACCUUAAUUCUACCCUAGAAUUAUACCGUGAGGGGAAAAAUAAUGGAAAACCAGUCUCUUUUUUUAAAUAUUAGUUUAAUCUAACCUGGAAUCAUCAAAACUUUAAUUGUAGGUUUAUAAUUUUUUGCAAUGCUUUUUAACAGAAAAGGAGUUAUACUAAAGCAUAAUAUACAAAUUCCUUUUAUAUAAACAUCUUAUUUUUAAAAACACUUUCCUUAAAAUUUCACUUAAAAAAAAUCCUGACUAUUUUAAAUGUUUCUGCAAUCUGUAAUUUCAGUGAAAACAGUAUUUGAAUCUUUCGGUCAUACCAUCUAUUUCUUUUAAAAUCAGCAUUUUAAAACAAACUUGAUUUUGUUUCAUGAGAUUUCACCCCAAUAUUCUCUCUUAUUUAAAUUUUAUUUUUAUUACUAUUGCAAGUUACAGUAGUACUGUUAGUAUAUGAAAUUCAGAACAUUCAUUUUAUUGUUUUUAUUCCCCACUAUUUUUGUCUUCUGUUUGUGCAUAGAACUCUCUGUCUCUUUCUUUUUCUCUCAUUUUUGCAGCAGCAGGAGACUCAGUUGAAUAGCAGAUUGUGAGCCCUCUGGAACUUAAUCUGAUACAGAAGGGCCUUCACUUUAUAAAGUGAUUUUUUUUAAAGUUACACUGCUCCCUCUGCUGGAUGGUGCCUACUAAACUUUUACUCCCAACACUAUAUUAAUAUCUACUAGUUUAUAAGCAAAGCUGUUAGGGAAAUUUAAUGAGAGAGUUAUGAAGAGAGGAAAUCCCUUAUGUUUUCUCUGUUAUCUGGUAGCAGUCAAAAACUCAUGGAUCGAGCAAGGCAUUGACUAAUACUUUAAACCCCAUCAUUAUUUGUAUAGUGAAAAAAGGAUCAUUUGGAAUCCCGUACUCUUUUAAAUAUUUUUGAAAUCCUAAUUGUUCACAACAUGUUAUUAGAAAGUCUUAGUACUGGUCAAAUGGUCCAUUAAAUUCAUUUUGCUCCAUAUUGGAUCAUGCUGGAAUUUUCUUAGUGGAAAAAAUAAAUUCUUACUGUCAGCCCUCUCUGUCCACGAGUGACUCUAGCAUACCUGCACCAGCAUCCCUGGAAUGCAGGUGAGUCAUUGUUUGUAGUUACUCACUAUUUCUUGCCUGCCAUGACUUGAUGCAAUUUUGUGAGAGGAGGCUACUUAAUUUCACAGUUUUCCUCUGAGCCUCUACUUGUAGGACAAUUUUCGCUGCUAAGGUUCUUCUGCAGAGCUCUCCCCACCUCUACACCCUGCUUGCAUGCCUCAUGUUGGCAACUUACUAUUGUCUUGUAGAGUUUGACUCCAGUAAAGAAACAGAAACUGAGUAAGUACAAAAGGAAACUGUGGCGGGCCAGAAGGGAGUGCUCCUGCACCAAAACACCCGCCUCACUGCACCCCGUCACACCCCAGGGGUGCCAACUUCUGACCAACUCCCUUCCUGGAGCACACCUGCAAGCCUGGGGGUUAACCACCACCACCAGCCAGGGUCUGGUCAUUGCUUGGAUCUUGUGCCCUCUGGGGUGCACAGGCUUUGUAGACUAGACCUUGAGGGUGCUUGACCCAGUGUGAGAUCUUGGGGUGCUUCCUUUUGACCUGAAGCACAGAAAGUAGCUUCCCUUAGUCAGCCAAGCCAAGGAAAUAAAAAGGCGUGCCCAUUCCCUCUCCAGCAUGUACCACAAAGCUUGUUAUAGCAGAUAACUUUAUUGGGGAGCGAGGGUAGGCUUGGAGAGAGGUACAAAUCAGAAAAGUAUCAAAAGAAUACCCUGAGCAAACAGAAGUUGCUUUGUAGCCUUUUGACAAGUUUCUAGAACACUGUUACUGACUAAAUUCAGGUAAGUUACUCACAUGUUCAUCUGGAGUCUGAGAGAGCUCCAGAGGCCAUGUGCUUGCUCCAUGUUCCAAAAAAAUGCCUCCUCCCCCUUCCUCAUGGGGACCCUCAUCACUAAGUUCCCACGAGAAGCAGCCCCAUUAGCUCCUGCCCGGUGCUUCCAAAUGACAUCACCUUCCCAGGUGAGGGGACUACUCAAGUGACCUGCAGAGGUGUGGAAAUGGAGACAAUGGGAGCAGGUCCCCUCUCCCUCAGGAAUGUCUCCAGCACAGGUCACAAAUCGGUGUUAAAUGGAACAGAUGGGGGAGGGGCUACCUGCAGCCUGGAAGGGUGAUUCUUCCAGAGAAACAACCCAAACAAAACAUCUGUCCUCAAAAUGGUCGUCAUAACCCCUCCUGCUUGGGGUGUGUACACCGUUUCAAAGCUUGUCUCCCCAAUCCAAAUGGUCAGUGUUCAGUAGCCUGGGCUUUUCCUCAGCUCUAGUGGUCCACCUAAUUGAGGGCCCUCCCCUUAAGGUGUCUUUUACUGAGUUAAAGACCAAUGCAAAAUAAAGUUUAUCCACUUAAGUGCUUGAACCAGAACAAACCUGGUUCUGACCCUCUUCUCUUUCAGUCAGGGUACACUCUGAGGUUUGCUCCCUCUGUAAUUCUGUGGCACCUGGCUCAAGUGUGGUCUUAUACUGGACAAGGAACAGAUUACCCGUUCCUUUCUCUUUCCUAAACUCUGUCUACAGGUGCAAUCUCUCACAGCUGCUGCCCAGCAGUACUCAUGGUCAGCUGACAUCUCAGAGGCUUCUCUCAUCUUUCUCAACCGAUGUGCUCUCCAUGUCUCUGCUGCCUUCUGCACCCCUUGGGCAGUUUCCUCCAAGCCUUUGCUCACAGGGCAGUUCUGGUUGCCCUUCUUCCCCUCUCUCCCACUUCCAGCAUUCCACCUGCUUGCUUUUGUUCCCGGCCUCUGUGCUUCCUGGACCUGUCAGCUUUCCCAUUGCCAGGACAACUUCUGGUAGCCGGAGCUCAUGAAAUACAUGUUGGCACACCUGUGGAGCUGCCAGUGUGUUUUUAGGAUUGUUUUGCCUCAUGGCCAGGGCAGCUGAAUUCUCUGCACACUCCCCAGCUGUUUCCUCGGGUGUGAGGUUUUAGACACUGAGAGAUGCCACUUGAUGACAUCAUCUCCCUGCCCUAAGUUUCCUGGACUCCUGGUGGGUAAGUACUGCAAAACCUCCGUGACAGGGUUGGAGCUAGUCUCCCUGUUAUAGUUACCAUCAGCAAUGGCUUCAGAAAAUCCCCCCUAUCAAUUGGAAGAAUAGAAGGAUAAUCACCAACAUUCUGGCCCAAGUAAACAUCACCAGCAUUGAAGCCAUGUUUAUAUGGCACCAGCUCUGUUGGACAGGACAUGUCAUAAGGAUGCCUUAUAAUUGGAUCUCAAAACAGGUCCUAUACCCCAACUUGCCACUGGCCACCAUUCUAGAGGUGGAUAAAAGAAGAGAUUCAAGGACACCUGGAAGACGAAUCUGAAGAAAUCAGUCCUCAGGAGACUUGAUCACUGAAUCAUCUCCCAUGAUUCUGUGAUGGUACAACAAACCAUUGAUUUUUGGAACAAACUUGCCUCAUUAUGGAGGUGGAUAGAUGAGAGAGACAAAGGGAGAGAGCUGAGAUCUCCAGCAUCUAUUUGUCAUGUCUGCAGUCAAACAUGCAGAUCUCAGAUUGACCUUCUCAGUCAUCUUUGGACUCUCAGAUUACUUCCCUAUUUACUCAAACACUAUCAUCCUCAUAUCAAGGGGACUGCUGCCAGCAAUGACUCUCCAGUUUAUGUUGUUUUAUAUUGACUGUCUGACCAGGGUGUCUGAGAAUAGAAUAGAAGGGAUAUUGACUUUUUAUUACAUUUUUUUCUUGUAGGUUGAUUUGCCUGUCUGACCUGGUUUUUUUGAGUUCCUGUACUGGCUUGACUUGGGUAGUAACAUACUGUGACAAAUUUUGGGAAAUGUAAGUGGUUAAUUACAUUUCUGUUUUUCCUAAAAUAAAAUGUGGUAUUUAAAUGC